CAUUUAGUGAUGUUUUAGAUUGCAUUGUCUCAUUGAUAUUACCAUUUCAUAUAGGGCUAGAAAGCUUUUAUGCAGCCAGUUGAUCCCAGACUGUAAAAUGUCUACAUUUAAUGAUAUUUAAUGACAUCACAGGUUCAGAAAUCAUUUGAUGAGGAAGAGGCCGAUGAUGUUGAAGAAGAUGAUGAAGAAGAGUACUAUGAUGAAAAGAAAGAUGACAUCAAGGAAGAACAGGAUACAACGGAACAAAAUGUUAAUCAAAUACCUGAAUAUGAGGGACAAAACAUUAAAUCAUGUGGGAGUGAGGAAAAAAGUUAUGUUCUUACUGAAACCAUAAAGAAAGAAAACGCUAUUCUAGAAAAAGACACCUCUAAACAAGAGGGAGAAAAUGCUGAAGUUUGUGUAACAAACACUUCUGAUCUAGCUGUUGCAGGCAGCCGUGACAGAACAUCUGGAAGACUACUGGAUAAGUAGAUCCAGAAUCUGCCUUCUUUGAGUGAAGGACCUCUAUUCAAGGAAGGUUCCCCGUCCACUUUUUGGGAAUUCCUCUGCACAGCAGGUUAGCUUAACCUUUUAAGAUGAACUCUAUGAAAUCAGAAAUUAUUAGAAAUAAGAACAAUAAAUAUAAAAUUAUGCUUCUCA
Molecule: long non-coding RNA, 639 nt
Filed under: Pogona vitticeps (central bearded dragon)
Lineage: Eukaryota; Metazoa; Chordata; Lepidosauria; Squamata; Agamidae
Description: lncRNA (ENSPVIG00000014480.1)
Source: RNAcentral